AGCCCCCGCUCGCCGCAACUAGAGAAAGGCCGCGCGCAGCAACGAAGACCCAGCGCAGCCAAAAAUAAGGGUUUAUUUCUGCCAGAGCGCACACUCUUAAGCAUCCCCAACUGUACCCUCCGUAAAGGCUGGGGAGAAGUGGGAAGAGCCGGUGACUUCAGUGUCCGUUCACAGCUGGUGGCACCAAGUCUGGUUACAGAGUAGGAGCCGGAAUCCUGUGAUGUCCAGAGAUGUCCAGCAUGUCAAAUUCUAGGCCAGAGACCGAGCCACAGGCACCAAGAGGCCAGAAAAUAUUGGAUGGGAGUUGGCUUA
Molecule: non-coding RNA, 312 nt
Organism: Kogia breviceps (pygmy sperm whale)
Lineage: Eukaryota; Metazoa; Chordata; Mammalia; Artiodactyla; Physeteridae
Source: RefSeq, a predicted model, not a curated record